RNAcentral lists this ribosomal RNA (465 nucleotides) under uncultured Klebsiella sp. RNAcentral describes it as "bacterial SSU rRNA". It matches the Rfam family "Bacterial small subunit ribosomal RNA", at positions 338 to 795 of the family's 1533-position model. The record is from RNAcentral. Lineage: Bacteria; Pseudomonadati; Pseudomonadota; Gammaproteobacteria; Enterobacterales; Enterobacteriaceae.
CCUACGGGGGGCUGCAGUGGGGAAUAUUGCACAAUGGGCGCAAGCCUGAUGCAGCCAUGCCGCGUGUGUGAAGAAGGCCUUCGGGUUGUAAAGCACUUUCAGCGGGGAGGAAGGCGGUGAGGUUAAUAACCUCAUCGAUUGACGUUACCCGCAGAAGAAGCACCGGCUAACUCCGUGCCAGCAGCCGCGGUAAUACGGAGGGUGCAAGCGUUAAUCGGAAUUACUGGGCGUAAAGCGCACGCAGGCGGUCUGUCAAGUCGGAUGUGAAAUCCCCGGGCUCAACCUGGGAACUACAUUCGAAACUGGCAGGCUAGAGUCUUGUAGAGGGGGGUAGAAUUCCAGGUGUAGCGGUGAAAUGCGUAGAGAUCUGGAGGAAUACCGGUGGCGAAGGCGGCCCCCUGGACAAAGACUGACGCUCAGGUGCGAAAGCGUGGGGAGCAAACAGGAUUAGAUACCCAGGUAGUC